UGAGUAACCUGCCCUUAACUCUGGAAUAACAGCUGGAAACAGCUGCUAAUACCGGAUACGACCUUCGAUGGCAUCAUCCGAAGGUGGAAAGCUCCGACGGUCAAGGAUGGGCUCGCGGCCUAUCAGCUUGUUGGUGAGGUAACGGCUCACCAAGGCUUCGACGGGUAGCCGGCCUGAGAGGGCGACCGGCCACACUGGGACUGAGAUACGGCCCUGACUCCGUACGGGAGGNAG
RNAcentral lists this ribosomal RNA (234 nucleotides) under uncultured bacterium. RNAcentral describes it as "partial 16S ribosomal RNA". It matches the Rfam family "Bacterial small subunit ribosomal RNA", at positions 118 to 351 of the family's 1533-position model. The record is from RNAcentral.